Molecule: ribosomal RNA, 364 nt
Filed under: uncultured bacterium
Lineage: Bacteria
Description: bacterial SSU rRNA
Rfam family: Bacterial small subunit ribosomal RNA
Source: RNAcentral
GACGAACGCUGGCGGCGUGCUUAACACAUGCAAGUCGAGCGGUAAGGCCCUUCGGGGUACACGAGCGGCGAACGGGUGAGUAACACGUGGGUGACCUGCCUCUAGCUCUGGGAUAAGCCUGGGAAACUGGGCCUAAUACCGGAUAUGACUCCACGGCGCAUGUUGUGGGGUGGAAAGCCUUGUGUGGCUAGAGAUGGGCCCGCGGCCUAUCAGCUUGUUGGUGGGGUGANGGCCUACCAAGGCGACGACGGGUAGCCGGCCUGAGAGGGCGACCGGCCACACUGGGACUGAGACACGGCCCAGACUCCUACGGGAGGCAGCAGUGGGGAAUCUUGCGCAAUGGGCAAAGCCUGACGCAGCGACG